Molecule: long non-coding RNA, 278 nt
Filed under: Lathyrus oleraceus (garden pea)
Lineage: Eukaryota; Viridiplantae; Streptophyta; Magnoliopsida; Fabales; Fabaceae
Description: Pisum sativum (pea) long non-coding RNA (PSAT_LNC002792)
Source: RNAcentral
AAAACAAGCCAUGGAAAUACCUCAUGCGCAAGUCCCUUAUUUAUCAUCCAUAUGAUUUGAUCUUGGACUCUUUUGGAAAACUCUCGUUAUAAGGAACAACUUUGAUGUUGUAACUUUUUCAAUUUGAAGCUUGUAAAAUGGAGAAAACUGGCCUUGAAGAUGGAGGUAUCAAACAUACUUUGAAAUUUUUCAAAGUUAUAAGCCAAAUGACCUCUCUUUCCACCUUGAAUAACUUUUGAAGUAAGCUUCAAAUGAACUUGGCUCCUUCUACAAGGUUG